RNAcentral lists this unclassified non-coding RNA (203 nucleotides) under Hevea brasiliensis (rubber tree). The record is from RNAcentral. Lineage: Eukaryota; Viridiplantae; Streptophyta; Magnoliopsida; Malpighiales; Euphorbiaceae.
GUUUCCAACAAGGUUGCAGUUGCAGCUUUUCUUGAAGAAGAUAUUUUCGUCAUGUUAUUCUAUGCUAUCAAGUGGUACAAAUAGAAAAGUUGCAUUUUUUUUGUUAAGGAAUUCUACCCUGGCCUAGAAAAGGAAGCUCAUGCUAAGAAAGAGAUCUUUACCUAGUUCCAUUCCAAGUUCAAGCUAUUUCAAGAAGAUCAAAA